Molecule: long non-coding RNA, 1720 nt
Organism: Triticum aestivum (bread wheat)
Lineage: Eukaryota; Viridiplantae; Streptophyta; Magnoliopsida; Poales; Poaceae
Exons: 5
Source: RefSeq, a predicted model, not a curated record
UCUUUCCUCACUCCCUCCUAAUCUACACCACUUUUCCCAUCCACAGCCGGAGCUCCCUCCUCCUAAUCCACCACCAGAGAGCUCCCGCUACUACACUUCGUCAGCAACGCCGGUGGACGGGUGGUCCUUGCUCUGUCCCGCCCCUCCCCUUCGUCAGCACCGCCGGCGGACGGGCAAGCCCCUGCUCUGCCCCGCCCCUCCCCUUCGCCAGCACCGCCGGCGGACGGGCAGGUCCCUGCUCUGCCCCGCCCCUCCCCUUCGUCAGCAGCACCGGCGGAUGGGCAGGCCCAUGCUCUGCCCCGCCCCUCCCCUUCAUCAGCACCGCCGGCGGACGCACAUGCCCCUCCUCUGCCCGCCCCUUCUUCCUAUCCGGUGACGCCGGGGCCCUCCCUCCUCCUCUCGACGGCGGGGCACUCGAGCUUGGCAUGUUCGCCAGCGAUGCCGGGGCCUUCACUCGCUGAUGCACUCGCCGCGACGCCAUGAAGGACCAGCAGCAGUUGCUGCUGGCGACCUCCAUCUUAUUAGGAUCACCACGAUGACCUCUGCGUGUUGUGCUGCUGCUCGGGACCCUCCCUAUGCUUCUCCUCGCUUGUCCGGAUCCAGAAACUUCUUUUGUGAUGCAACUAAUGGGGGAAUACAAAAGACACAUAAUGUCGAUUACUUUGAGCCUUUGAGUUAGAAGCUUGAUCAGGCAUUGUAGGUGAAUCAGUACAAUGCUCAUUUGACAAGGAUUCAUGGAAGGACGUCAGGUUUAGGUCAGGUUGACAAAGGAGCAUGCAUUUGCGGAGCAGUUCGCCCGCGCUGACGUCGUCGGGUGAGUAGUGUGUGGUGAUGGCGCAGUACAGUCUGGGCGGAGGCGUCUUCUAGCCUAAUGAAGCCUUGGUGGCAGCGGUGUGUAAAAGCCUUUUGAAUUUCAGAUCAGAGAAGAAUAUGCACCUAUGUCGGCGAGGAGCUCCUCGUUGCGGCCGUGGCAGUGCGCUUGUGCGGCUGCACCUGUGUUGGGGAACAGCGCGUUGUCGUGGCCGUCGUCCAGUGCCUCGGCGAGCUCGUCGUCGCGGCCUUCGUCGUGUGCCUCGGCGAGCUCGUCGUCGCGGCCGUCGUCGUGUGCCUCGGCGGCUGCGCAGGGCAGCGACGAGGCAUGUAAUCUGGACGCCGGGCCUGGCUUGAUUCCCGCUAAGUUAGCUUAUUUGUUUCCGUAUAUCACUCCCCGUGUAAAUUGUUCGUGGGUUGUUACUUUUUUUUUAGGAAGGGACGUGGGGUUACCUGUAGAUUUACCUGUAGACUCGUGCGGGCUUGCGUUUGUACGGGCAGAGUUUUCGUCCGCUUUCAUCAUGUUUUUUUGUUUAAUAGUAGUGUAGAAUAAAGUCUUGGCGACAGCGGUGUGUAAAAGCCUUUUAAAUUUCAGAUCAGAGAAGAAUAUGCACCUAUGUCGGCGAGGAGCUCCUUGUUGCGGCCGUGGCAGUGCGCUUGUGCGGCUGCACCUGUGUUGGGGAACAGCGUGUUGUCGUGGCCGUCGUCCAGUGCCUCGGCGAGCUCAUCGUCGCGGCCUUCGUCGUGUGCCUCGGCGAGCUCGUCGUCGCGGCCGUCGUCGUGUGCCUCGGCGGCUGCGCAUGGCAGCGACGAGGCAUGUAAUCUGGAUGCCGGGCCUGGCUUGAUUCCCGCUAAGUUAGCUUAUUUGUUCCCGUAUAUCACUCCCCUUGUAAAUUGGACGUGGGUUGUU